ACGUGAUCCUGUGGGGCAGAUCCCAAAAGUGUAGCUGCCACCCGGGGGGACAUCCCUGCCAGGCUCUCCCUCGGGAGCCUGGAUGGGGUACUGGCAUCAUCACAGGCCUGGGGUUUCUGGUUUCUCACUCUGUGCCUUGCUUUGACCUCUAGAACCCCAGCUGCUCACAUUGUUCCUCCAUCCAGAACUCCUUUUCUCACCUCCCUGUCCCUCAACCCCAUCACCACAGUCAAGAGACCAUCUACAUGCCAUCUCUUCCAGGCAGCCUUCCCAAUUCCUCUCUUUUCUCUGUGUUCUCACAGCACAAGUGCCAGCAGAAGGACUCAGCAGCUGUGGCUAACACCAGUCAAGCCAAGGAUCAGGCGUGCUCAGCAGCAAGGUGGAGGGGCGUCUGCUGCCUCUGGAGAAGCCAAAGGGACAGGGGAGUACAAAAGCAUGUAUGAGUGGCCCAAGACUCAAAGCCAGGACAGUUCCAAGAUGUGCACACAGCUGCCUGGCUGCUGCAAGCAAGGACCAGGCUGUGGAAAGGUGGCCACGCUGUGAAGUCUGUGUUCAAAGAGACACAAAGGAAGCGGUGAGCCGUGGGGGGCCAACACACGCCCCAGGUAGCAGGACUGUGGAGACAGGGGCAGAGUUUUGUCCUCCUUCUGGGUUAUAAAUAUCCACAUCAUGCUCUUUGAGGGUGCAGGUGGCACAGACCCCCUAACAGAGCACUCAGCUCUCUAUCUGAGCAGGGCAGGGGGGCUCAGAGGCAGGGGAGCUAGGCAGAAGGAGGCCAUGGCCUUGGGCCCAGUGCCUGCCGUCUUCUCUCCUCCUGUGAGGAUGCCCAGCCUGUCCACCUCUGGGAGGCCUUGUCAGCAGCUCCUCCUUGUUCGCAGUGGAACUAAUCACUCUCUUGGGCUCUCAAAGCUUCCUUAUCAUCACAAGGCCUGUGGUGUGCCCUGUGUUGCUGC
Felis catus (domestic cat) is the source of this 953-nucleotide long non-coding RNA. RefSeq lists it as uncharacterized. The transcript is spliced from 3 exons. The record is from RefSeq and is a predicted model, not a curated record. NCBI's taxonomy places the organism in Eukaryota, Metazoa, Chordata, Mammalia, Carnivora, Felidae.